AUUGCAAGUUCAAGGCCAUAGCACAAGUACUCAUGGCACCACCUGUCAGAUUCCAAUGAAUCUGCAAGUUCUGCU
RNAcentral lists this ribozyme (75 nucleotides) under Crocodylus porosus (Australian saltwater crocodile). Its description in RNAcentral is "Mammalian CPEB3 ribozyme (ENSCPRG00005003627.1)". It matches the Rfam family "Mammalian CPEB3 ribozyme". From Rfam's summary of the family: The mammalian CPEB3 ribozyme is a self cleaving RNA located in the second intron of the CPEB3 gene which belongs to a family of genes regulating messenger RNA polyadenylation. The record is from RNAcentral. Lineage: Eukaryota; Metazoa; Chordata; Crocodylia; Crocodylidae.